Myotis davidii is the source of this 75-nucleotide non-coding RNA. Lineage: Eukaryota; Metazoa; Chordata; Mammalia; Chiroptera; Vespertilionidae. The record is from Rfam.
GGCAGUUCUCGGGUGACACACCCCGGAAUCAGGCUCCGCCCUCUCUGGUUCCGAGUGCAUCACCCAAAAACCACA